CCAGGUUGCUGGGUUGUCUGUGAGCUGAGCUCGCUCCUAUUAUAGCCCCAUUUGUUUCGCUUUAACAAUCAUUCUUUAUUCCAGCCCUGUACUUGGCACCGUUUAGCUGCCUACUCCAAACUUCACCACCCUGCCUCCUGCUUAAAGCACUCAAAUUGCCCUAUUCUGCAAAUAUAUGGUGAAUGCGGUGGGGCCUCGCCGCACAUCAGUUGUCUGGGCUAUCAUUCUAUAAUCUACUACAUAUUAUUAUACACGACCACACGGCCAAAGAACAGACAGACUGCCUCAUUCAGAGAAAGAGUGUGAAAAAAACAAAGAAGGAAGUUAAAAAAAAAGUUGGGGUUUUAAAACUUUGUAAAGCGGUAUUCUUAGGACUGAGAGGAGGCGUGUCUAGCUGCACUUUACCUGUUUUGCAGAAUUCCUUCGUCUCUUUUAAAACGGCAUGCACCCGAGCUGAAUGGCAACACCCAGACCACGGACAGCAGAAAGAAGAGUGGGUGUGCAGAAGCUGGCCCCUGGCAGGGAGCAGUCUAGGGCUGCUUCUCCUUGGGUUGGUGGUGUGACGGUGUAACCAUCCCUCAGCACCUGGGGCUUGCCGGUGUUAAAAAUACGAGGGAGAUUCUGGCAAAGGGAAUCAAAGCAUUGAGGUGUUUAAUGAUCCGACCGCAGAUUAUGCAUUGUGAAGCUUUUCUUCAAGAGGAAAAGGGUUCUUCUCACCGCCCCAUGCACCAAACAUUAUAGGUCAUGAAAAGGUACAGAGACAGGGCCUAUGUAACAUGGACAGCAGCCUUAUAUUGGAGCAAAAAGGGUGAACGGGACAGCUGCCUCUAAACAGAGGCGAUGUAAGAUCCUGAGUCUUUAGAAUGAGUCUGGAGUGGACAGCAGCCGUAUGCCACGGGCACAUGUUGGGCCAGAGAACCUUAAGAGUGAGGGAUUGGAGGGCAGCCUCUAAUUGGAUGGAGUGUGAGACCACAGAGUCUGAGAGUGAGUGCUGGAGUGGACAGCAGCCCUGCUUUACGAGAGCUUGUGUUUAAUAAAAGCAAGCAUUGUAUGGUACUGACGGGGGAGGGGGAUCAGCAAUCAGAAAUGGAAAGUGAAUGCUGAACACAUCAACUACUUGGUGCAGCAACGUGUAAUGAGGGAGCCCAGCCCAAUCCCCCAAAGACACAGCCUUGAGGCCCCACAGCCUUCCUGCUCAUGUGCUCAUUAACAGCUGCCAAGUGCAGCCGAGCUGCCCCCUCAUUGGCCUGCUGUUGCUUUGCAUAGGGACCCUUAACUGUCUGCUUGACUCAAGUGCAACCUGUAUGCACAGGAGCAAAGUGAGCCUGAAUGAUCACAGCUAAAGAGGCCAAGUCAAAAUGAAUUAACCCUUUGAGCCGUCAAGGGCUCAUCCCUAAAGCAGGAGGGAGUUCAAAUUUGUAUCGGUUUUUAAUUUAUAACUGUGUGUGUGUGCAUCCUUGUUUAUGGUAUAGAGUAUUUUGCCAGAAAUGUAACAAAAUAAAAUGUGUAAGAGAGAUGGGUACAACAUUACAUAAAAUAAUACAGAAUCACCUGUCAAUCAUAAGAAAUAACAAAGUAAAUGAACCAAUACUGCAACACUUUAUGAAAAAUGAACACAAAUUCCCUACAAUUUGUAGUUUUAGAUUAAAUAAAAUUAGAUGAUGUACAAUACAGAGGGAUAAAGGAAAACACAUUGAUAAACAGACUCAAUACCAGGAUGCCUGAAGGUUUAAAUAGAAAGGAACAGUAGAUCGUUACAUUAUUAACUACAUAGAAACAUAGAAAAUGGACGAGGUGAACAAGACUCACUUUACUGUUGCUCAAGCUUGGAGUAUACCUUCACGUUAAAUGGUACAUCAGUAUACUGUCAUCACUAUACAGUCCCAGCCACAUGCAUUAUACACAAUAUUUAAGUAUAAAGUUUUAUGUGUCUGAUUGUUUAAAAACACAGGCAAUGGUCUGGCAAACUAAAAAUGUCCACACAUGUAAUUAUGUAUUUAUAAUUUGAAUAUGCGUAAAUGCUGUUAACUAAGUACUAAAAAGCAUAACAAGAGUUAAGUGGCAUUACUGCCCAACUCUCUAGAGAUCACACAGACUGCAUGAGGGGGUAAUACUGUGCAAUUCAGUUGAAAAUGACUGUAUACGUCACUGCAAUGCGCAGUAGCAAUUUUAUUUAGAAAACGCAUUCAAGCAGAGAUUGGUUGCUACUAGCUAUUUUUAGGUUUGUUUCUAAGAUAGUCCGCAGUGUAGUAUUAAUGCCAAUGGAGCACAUCGGGCAUGAGAAUCAUACAGUGUCAGCCUUGUGAGCCCACAGUCUGACUGCAAUAGAAUUAAUUUUACUUGACUCAUCUUCUUCAUCUGUUUGCCAGUGUUCUACAGGAAAGUAAUUUAAGGUUGCUCUCACAAAACUCAAAGCUGAACUGCAGCUCUCUUGGAAAUAGCAUUGCUACCUUCUUUUUUUUGUUUUAAGUAUGUGCAAUUAAAUUGUCGUUCUGUGUACUUGGAGCAGUGAAAAGUAGACACUGAGUAAUACUUUGUCAUAGAAUGUAAUACGUUUCUUUCUGUGAUUGCAUGCUGCUGUUGUCUUUCAGGGCCCCCUUGACAAUGAGAUGCACACCUGAAAGGAGUCUCUUCCUGGAUUAACAAUAAUCAACAUGGAAUAGCAAUAGCAAUACUAAUACAAAUGGUAAUUACAACUAAAGCAAUGCUACAGAGUAUUAAUAGCUUUGAAAGGCUUGGUGAGCCUGAUUGCGAUGGAGUGUGGAUCUCCAGAACUGCUUUUAUUGUUGAAGGAACUUCCGGAAACUUCCAAAGGCAUCUUCUGAAACGUUUGUCUGCUUGACUUGACAGUAUAUUCAGCAGGUCUGCAGGAGCUCAGGGACCGGAGCAUCUCACUGGACUCUGGUCACAGAGAAGGAGGGAGGAGGUCCGGCUUCAAAAACAUCUGCAUUCAUCUAAAGCUUGAGCACUGUUGAGUGCGGAUGAUUCAUCUGAAAGAGACCCUGUGCUGUGAUGUACAGCAAUGGAAAUCGGAUAAGAGAACGAUUUAGAAUGUGUCAGUCUUACUCUGUGUAGUGAUGUUACACCAUGCAUAACCCGUACUGCACGACGCCUCAUAGGAGUUCCUGAUGACAGUGUUUUUUUGGUGAUUUAUAAUCAGUUAACACGUCCUGUGCAGAGUCUGUUAUCAUAAUAGACCUAAUCUCUUUGGGCAAGAUGCCAUCUCUUACAACAGCACCAUAAACACACCACUUUUUAAACUUAUAAAUAAAACCAAGCCUGCUUUACUCACUCACAGCACUGAAAUGCACACAGUGGCACUAAUUUACAGAAUGUAUUAUUCAUUACAUUUAGAGUCAUAUGAAAGAGAAAUCGGAUCACAGCUGCUGAGCUGCUGUAAGUCCAGGGAGAGUAAAUGCAAACAGAAGGCUGCUGCUAGUUCCCAUUGUGUUUUCACUGCAUUGCAUGAGCGGGGCCUUCAUUCAGGUGCCAGCAGUACCGCUGUGGCACCAUCUUGUGGUCCUCUUGUCAUUCCAUUUGAUUUAUUCAUAUUCUAUCGUUCUGGGUUUCUUUGAUUUUUGCUUCACAUGUAGGCUAUGUGCUUGAGAGCUUGUGGCGGGUUCUUAUUUCAUCCUCAUUGAAUGAAAGCUUUGUUCUAAUGACCAUGACAGAUUCUACAAAUAGCACAAGAAUAAAGGCUGGCCACCUAGCUUACUGUAAAUGACCCAGCCUGAAAUCCCCUGAUCCAUUGAAUUAACUUAUUGCUCUGAUUCUCACUUUUGAUAGCUAUGUUAUUGUGUGUUGGUGGAGAGGCAGAGACAUUCACAAUGACACACUGAUUUGAUCAGAACGAAUCAUUGAAAAUGGAUCCUGCAAUAGUGAGUAAACACAAACGAGGUCACCACAAAUAGACUACCAACACAAAGGUGCACAUUAAUAGUAAUAGCUGGAUAGGUAUUACAUUGCAUUGGCUUUUUAGAUGAGUGUAAUGUUAUUAGAAGCCUGUGCUGCCUUUAAAGCAUGUUUGUUAGCCCAUAUUAUUAAAGGAAUCAAAAAUCUAUAUUUUUUAUUUGUAUUUCAUUUUACUAAUUGUGUAUUUGUUUGU
This is a long non-coding RNA of Polyodon spathula (Mississippi paddlefish), 4105 nucleotides long. RefSeq lists it as uncharacterized. Lineage: Eukaryota; Metazoa; Chordata; Actinopteri; Acipenseriformes; Polyodontidae. The record is from RefSeq and is a predicted model, not a curated record. The transcript has 4 exons.